GGGACCAAUGAUGAGGACACUGGGGGUCUCUGAAUCAACAGUCUUGAUUACACCCUAAAACUCUGAGGUCAGA
Molecule: small nucleolar RNA, 73 nt
Filed under: Erinaceus europaeus (western European hedgehog)
Lineage: Eukaryota; Metazoa; Chordata; Mammalia; Eulipotyphla; Erinaceidae
Description: Small nucleolar RNA SNORD113/SNORD114 family (ENSEEUG00000019207.1)
Rfam family: Small nucleolar RNA SNORD113/SNORD114 family
About the family: The imprinted human domain at 14q32 contains two clusters of tandemly repeated small nucleolar RNAs named 14q(I) and 14q(II) snoRNAs. These two clusters are named SNORD113 and SNORD114 respectively in the HGNC approved gene symbol nomenclature.
Source: RNAcentral